ACCGCCUGCCCAGUGACUUUUACAGUUCAACGGCCGCGGUAUCCUGACCGUGCAAAGGUAGCAUAAUCACUUGUUCUUUAAAUAAGGACUAGUAUGAACGGCUUGACGAGGAUUUAACUGUCUCUUGCUUAUAGUCUGUGAAAUUGACCUUCUCGUGAAGAGGCGAGAAUAAAAAAAUAAGACGAGAAGACCCUAUGGAGCUUAAAUUUAUUAACCCAUUAUUAACUGACUAAAUCUAAUAGAGAUAAAAUAUAAACCAUGGGUUAACAAUUUUGGUUGGGGUGACCUCGGAGUAAAACCUAACCUCCGAAUGAUUUUAACCUAGACCCUACAAGUCAAAGUUUCUAUUCAUACAUUGACCCAGAAUUAAUCUGAUCAACGGACCAAGUUACCCUAGGGAUAACAGCGCAAUCCUAUUCAAGAGUUCAUAUCGACAAUAGGGUUUACGACCUCGAUGUUGGAUCAGGACCCCCAAAUGGUGCAACCGCUAUUAAAGGUUC
This 500-nucleotide ribosomal RNA is filed under the name Octodon degus (degu). Its description in RNAcentral is "partial 16S ribosomal RNA". It matches the Rfam family "Bacterial large subunit ribosomal RNA", at positions 1854 to 2574 of the family's 2925-position model. Lineage: Eukaryota; Metazoa; Chordata; Mammalia; Rodentia; Octodontidae. The record is from RNAcentral.